Molecule: ribosomal RNA, 254 nt
Filed under: uncultured bacterium
Lineage: Bacteria
Description: partial 16S ribosomal RNA
Rfam family: Bacterial small subunit ribosomal RNA
Source: RNAcentral
UACGGGGGGGGGCAAGCGUUGUUCGGAAUCAUUGGGCGUAAAGGGCGCGUAGGUGGCGGGACAAGCGUGCGGUGAAAGCCUGGGGCUCAACCCCGGGUCGGCCGUGCGAACUGUUUUGCUUGAGCACUGUAGAGGCAGGCGGAAUUCCUGGUGUAGCGGUGAAAUGCGCAGAUAUCAGGAAGAACACCCGUGGCUAAGGCGGCUCUCUAGUACGGUACUGACGCUGAGACGCGAAAGCGUGGGGAGCGAACAGG